UAUGCUCAAUUGUGGCCACUACUAUCACAGGGUUGUAAGAGUUGGGUUUCUCCUAUGAAGUCCCUCUUCAGCGUUACUGACAAUGUGCCACUCGUCGUUACCCUUCGUUUUUCGUACUUUUGAGGUUGUGCUCAUUCUUGCGAGAUCCAUAAACAUGAGCAUGCAUUCGAUGUCAUGCUUGGGAUUUCUUGUGAUCAGGGCGGUCUUCUUGAAGCUAGUAUUAGUAUUAGUGGUUUAAACAAAUUUGACGUCUAUUUGGUCUGUCUUUCUCAAUUGGUACAACUUCUGUGUUUGUUAGGCUUCAGUCUCUAUUGUACAUCGACCUGAAGGAUCGCAAAUACCAUAAAGCUGGAGUUGUAAUAAUCUCCUCAAUAUCCGCAUAGUGCAGAGAGCGUUACCGUCGCUGUCACCUCAACGGAGUAUUAUCCUACAACCUGACUUCGAGCUCUGAGAUAGGGUCACAAUGUCAAUCACGAUGCUUGUUUUUAAAAUCCAGGGCUUGGUUUGCAGUGAACGACGAUUUCGACAUAGUGUAUAUUUUUGAUACAAUCAAAAUCACCGUUGGACACAUACUAUAACGGCCACUUCAGAUGGCUAUAAGAUAUGAGGAAUGAGUCUAGAUGCAGAAUUCUCAGACAGGCGAGCCCUUCAGGGCUAUUCGUUUUCUUUGUGGUACCGAGACGAAGGUGUAUGAUUUCAAUAUCUAUAGGAGGUAGGUAAGUCUUUCAAGUCAUUGUCCAGCAAACUACCAUUAUGAUAUUUGCGCCAAAGCACCAGGUAUAUACCUUGGAAGCAUUUUAAACUUCCAAUGCGAAGUCAUGAAUAACGCCCCUUCAGUAAUUUUCUGGGAAUUAGUUCAUGAAGCACGCAUGAAGAGAGUGCCACCGUAUGCACUCUGAUGUGUGCUCGAAGAUUCUCUGCUACUUUCCUCACCUGAUUCGCUCAUAGUCCAAGAGAGGAUUUCUGGAGAUGACGUUCUUUUUGUAUUCAGGAAAGGUCAAGCAGGGGUUUAUGUGUAAGAUUUGCGUGCAAAGUCUGGGUAAAAAGAUUAGAAAAAGUUUUAUUUGCCAAUGAACAGAAGAUUCCUCGGUCGUGCUUCCUACUGGACUCAGAUGACUAAGAUCCGCACGGUUUGGAUUGCGGUGGGAUUUUUUGGUACAACUGAUGAUAAUUUAUUCCCAUUUAGGUUUUUUCCGUUUGGGCAGGGGUUCGAUAGAGAACUAAGAGGAUUGCCUUAGCUCUGACUCGACAGAAUUUGACUGCACUGUUGGAGUAAGUUUCAAUUUUCAGUUUUUUCGUAGAAUUUGUGACCAUAUUUGAACUUUAAACAACUGGUCUGCAUGAUCUGUGAUUUAGAAGCUGUCAUGUAGUUAAAAUAAUUUGAAUCACUAGAUCAGUAUGUGCUCUUUUUAAGGUUGCUUGUGGCAGGGAACAGUUGCGCUGUUGCUCUGGAUUGAAACUCGGGUCGCUGUGAGGAGAGCCGAGUGUCCUAACCAUGAAGGUUGCAAAGGAAUCAAAAAAAUUCUUCUCUUUUCUAAUAAGUCCAAUGGCUUCACACUACCCACAACUCUCACCAGCAGAUUUCAUAAUUAAGAAGUUGACGCAAUACUCAGUAUUUCAUCAUGAACUCGAGAUGGAGCAGGAAUUGAUUCUUGACAAUCGUCAAAGUUGGAGCUGCGCUGUUGACUUGAUGGAGAGCAAGUUUAUUCGUGAAGUCCACAAUCUCCAUCCGCAAGCCCAUUGUUCCUCUGAUCCUGUAGUCUGUUUUCAACUGGUGACACAUUAGUGUCCAACAAAGGUCAUUGUGCAGCGUUGACGAUCUGAGUCACAUGACCCUUGUCUGCAUGAGCUUAGAUACAAUUGUGUGCAGUGUGAGAUUAUAGUGAAAACUCACAUGCUUCAUAGGAUAUUCAAAACUGGGCUGUAGAGUUUAAGAGAAUCGUCAAAGCUUAGUUAUUUGCUGAAGCGAGACUUUAAUGACACAGUAACUCGUGCGUUAUGUGUGGCUUUCAGUCCAGAAUUACGAGGAGGACGUUCACAAGUUGCUGAUUGUUUAUGAAGAUUUUAGGGAAGUGCUGAGAUGAGCAUCCUGAAUAAGGGUUUGUGCUUUCACAUUUAUGUUGGCGUUUUUUAGAGUAGGACGUUUUAUCCAUGUUAAAUGCAUUGGGCUUUACUACUCAAGGUGAUCAAUAAGCUCCAAGCAUUAAGCUUAUAUACACUGCUCACGAAACCAAAUAGGUAGUGGCUAUUAAUUGUCUAAGCAGCGCGGUUAGCUAUUCAUCCUAAUAUGACUGUCUUCGUAUCCUGGACUAACUCUGUGACAUGUGAGUUGUCAUCGUUCUACUAAUGACAAAGCAAGCGAAGAGGACAGUUCGCUUAUUUCUAACAAUCUCAAUGUUACGCAUGUCCGUUUCAGAAAGAGAGCGUGAAUGUGGUAUAGUGGGCCGUAUUGCAUCUCAUUUGAAAGCUUACCCAAUUCUUGUCUUCCCUGUGGCUCCGAAGGAGCUAAUUGGAUUGAAAUUGGUCUACAACGCGUCUGUUCUCUCACGUUACAUCACAUGAUUGCUCGCUGGUAGUCAACGCAUUUAGGGGCUCUGGAUUUCAUAUUUAAUCUAUAUUAUGUGAAAGUUCAGAGUGAAAGACAGAAGCUCAAAAAUAAUUCAGUUUAUAAUUUUGCAGAAACGGGUGACCAAAUGUUACAUUUCCUUCCUGAAUUUAAAUAGCACGGGUUGGAGUAUUUACUACCUCACAUACAUACUUCGGCUUACUCGAUUGUUUAUCUUGUGCUGCCAGGGAUAAGUCACGUGAAUACAUAUCCUUUCCAUGAAAAUCGACAUUAAGGAAAAUUUGGGGUUCUUUUCCCCAGUUUUUUCACGAAGCUCUCUAAAGUUCUCCCUUGUGUGCCUGGCAUCAAGGAAAAUGUCGGCAAGUUUGCCAAUCAUCUGGUGUGGAAGUUCCGCAGACUUGCUUUUGUCUCCUGGUAUCUUCUGUAGAAGAAUUUUUUUCAACAUAGAAUACGUGCAACAUUGAGUUUCUUGAAGAAACGUGCUGGAGCAUAGAAGAGGAGCCAAUUAUGAAGAAGGAUGAGACCUCCUCGGAAGAAAAAUCUUCUUCAGUGUCGAUUAAGCUCCGCGAGCAGCUUGUCUAUACGUCGAUGUCAUCUAGAUCCUGCUGGAAAAAUGAUGAGGUUUCUCACACGUUCACAGGUUGGUGCUUAAGAAAUUCUUAGUUCACCAAUUACCUAAAGGUGAGCCUCUCAUGGUUGGAUAUUGGGAUUGGAGUAGCUGGGAGACGACGACUUGAUUACGUACUGUGUGAAGUCGCAAACCACAAGAACUACGAACUUAAAUUGUCUUCUGUACGUUACAUUCUCUGUGCAUACAACAUUUGAACCUUGCACUGGCUCUUGUCAAAUAUGAUGUGUGACGAUCAUUCGCAAUUCUUGUUAAAACGGGAUGUAGCUAAAAUUGAGCACACAUGGACAUUUAUCGACGUGGUCCUGGCCUUCAUCUUCA
Molecule: non-coding RNA, 3515 nt
Organism: Physcomitrium patens
Lineage: Eukaryota; Viridiplantae; Streptophyta; Bryopsida; Funariales; Funariaceae
Source: RefSeq, a predicted model, not a curated record